AGUCGAACGGUAGCACAGAGAGCUUGCUCUUGGGUGACGAGUGGCGGACGGGUGAGUAAUGUCUGGGAAACUGCCCGAUGGAGGGGGAUAACUACUGGAAACGGUAGCUAAUACCGCAUAACGUCGCAAGACCAAAGUGGGGGACCUUCGGGCCUCACACCAUCGGAUGUGCCCAGAUGGGAUUAGCUAGUAGGUGGGGUAAUGGCUCACCUAGGCGACGAUCCCUAGCUGGUCUGAGAGGAUGACCAGCCACACUGGAACUGAGACACGGUCCAGACUCCUACGGGAGGCAGCAGUGGGGAAUAUUGCACAAUGGGCGCAAGCCUGAUGCAGCCAUGCCGCGUGUAUGAAGAAGGCCUUCGGGUUGUAAAGUACUUUCAGCGAGGAGGAAGGCAUUAAGGUUAAUAACCUUGGUGAUUGACGUUACUCGCAGAAGAAGCACCGGCUAACUCCGUGCCAGCAGCCGCGGUAAUACGGAGGGUGCAAGCGUUAAUCGGAAUUACUGGGCGUAAAGCGCACGCAGGCGGUCUGUCAAGUCGGAUGUGAAAUCCCCGGGCUCAACCUGGGAACUGCAUUCGAAACUGGCAGGCUAGAGUCUUGUAGAGGGGGGUAGAAUUCCAGGUGUAGCGGUGAAAUGCGUAGAGAUCUGGA
RNAcentral lists this ribosomal RNA (651 nucleotides) under Kluyvera sp. 6hR33. RNAcentral describes it as "bacterial SSU rRNA". It matches the Rfam family "Bacterial small subunit ribosomal RNA", at positions 60 to 702 of the family's 1533-position model. Lineage: Bacteria; Pseudomonadati; Pseudomonadota; Gammaproteobacteria; Enterobacterales; Enterobacteriaceae. The record is from RNAcentral.